UACGUAGGGCGCAAGCGUUGUCCGGAAUUAUUGGGCGUAAAGAGCUCGUAGGCGGUUUGUCGCGUCUGCUGUGAAAACCUAAGGCUCAACCUUGGGCUUGCAGUGGGUACGGGCAGUCUAGAGUGCGGUAGGGGUGACUGGAAUUCCUGGUGUAGCGGUGGAAUGCGCAGAUAUCAGGAGGAACACCGAUGGCGAAGGCAGGUCACUGGGCCGCAACUGACGCUGAGGAGCGAAAGCAUGGGGAGCGAACAGG
RNAcentral lists this ribosomal RNA (253 nucleotides) under uncultured bacterium. Its description in RNAcentral is "partial 16S ribosomal RNA". It matches the Rfam family "Bacterial small subunit ribosomal RNA", at positions 524 to 776 of the family's 1533-position model. The record is from RNAcentral.